UGAAAAGAAGGCAGGAGAGGGCAUCAC
RNAcentral lists this small RNA (27 nucleotides) under Bombyx mori (domestic silkworm). RNAcentral's name for it is "ovarian small RNA-7848". Lineage: Eukaryota; Metazoa; Arthropoda; Insecta; Lepidoptera; Bombycidae. The record is from RNAcentral.